This 253-nucleotide ribosomal RNA is filed under the name uncultured bacterium. RNAcentral describes it as "partial 16S ribosomal RNA". It matches the Rfam family "Bacterial small subunit ribosomal RNA", at positions 524 to 776 of the family's 1533-position model. The record is from RNAcentral.
UACGGAGGGUGCAAGCAUUAAUCGGAUUUAUUGGGCGUAAAGGGCGCGUAGGCGGAGAUAAAAGUCAGAUGUGAAAUCCUGGGGCUCAACCUCAGAACAGCAUUUGAAACUCUAUCCCUUGAGGGUAGGCGGAGAAAACGGAAUUCCACAAGUAGCGGUGAAAUGCGUAGAUAUGUGGAAGAACACCGGUGGCGAAGGCGGUUUUCUAGCUUAUUCCUGACGCUGAUGCGCGAAAGCAAGGGGAUCAAACAGG